CAUCCUGCCACUUGUUGCUGUAAACGGUCACAGGCAACGAAAUUUCCAGGCAGCCUUCAUUUCUACAGAGACACCUGAACGCAGCAUCCAGACUAAUGAAUUGAGGGGUUGAGAAGGACGAUGAAAACAAAAAUGGAAAUCGAUCGAAAAUAACAUAGUUGUCUAUGUCAGACCUCUCACUGGCACUUCACAAAGAACCUGAGGGGAGAAAAGUGAGAGGCCACAGUUCAGAACCAUGGAGGCUCGAUUUGGUAAUAUUGUGUUCAGCUCCAAGUUUGACUCAGGGAACCUGGCACGUGUGGAGAAAGUGGAGAAGGGCAGCUCCAGCCCUCCUACCGAUACAGCUCCCAGUGGGAGUGGCCUCCUAGGGUCAAACCUGACCCCUGACUAUGAGUUCAAUGUGUGGACACAACCAGACUGCGGUGGCACAGAACAUGAGAAUGGAAACAGGUCAUGGUUUUACUUCAGUGUGCGGGGUGCAGCACCUGGGAAAAUAGUGAAGAUCAAUGUGAUGAACAUGAACAACCAGAGGAAGCUCUACAGCCAGGGCAUGGCUCCUCUCGUACGCACUUUACCUGGCAAGAACCGAUGGGAAAGGGUCCGGGACAGACCCUCAUCUGAGAUUGUGGAUAACCAGUUCAUCCUCUCAUUCACACACCGGCUGUUGGAGGUGCGAGGGGCGACCACCUACUUCUCCUUCUGCUACCCGUUCCCUUACAGUGAGUGCCAGGAGAUGCUGGAGCAGUUUGACAAGAGCUACCCCAAUGUUGCUCAACUAAGUCCAAGCAGUGCACCAAGCAGUGUGUAUUACCAUAGGGAGUUGCUGUGCAACUCUCUAGACGGCAACAGGGUGGACCUGCUCACUGUGACCAACUGCAGCGGGAUGCAAGAAGAGAGAGAACCACGUCUGCCUAAGCUGUUUCCCGACACCAACACUCCAAGAGCACACCGCUUCCCUGGCAAAAGGGUGUUUUUCCUCAGCAGUCGAGUGCACCCCGGGGAGACUCCGUCAUCCUUCGUCUUUAACGGUUUCCUCAACUUCAUUCUAAGAAGAGAUGACCCUCGUGCUCAUGCGCUUCGAAACAUGUUUGUGUUCAAGCUCAUUCCCAUGCUCAACCCAGAUGGGGUUAUUCGUGGGCACUACAGGACUGAUUCCAGGGGUGUGAACUUGAACAGACAAUACCUGAACCCCAGCCCUGAGCUGCACCCUUCUAUCUAUGCAGCCAAAACACUGUUGCUCUACCACCACACACACAACCGCCUGCACAAUCCACAGUCCAGCACUCACUGUAACAGCUCCACACACACACAGACCACUCCGCUUAACACCAAACCCACCAAUCAACACCAGUCUCCCCCCUUCACCGCCCUUGAAGUCAGCUUGAACCAACGAAAUGCAGAGAAGGAUACAAAUCCCGCCCUGCCAGAAGUUCCCAUGGUGACGGAGGAAAACGUCUGGGCAACCACAGAGAUGGGGAAGGGGGACCAGAAAAGCUCAUCGAGUUCCCCAGAGACUGUAGCUCCUGUUACUGUAGAGGUAACCGUACCACAGGAGGAGGAACAGGAAUUAAUUCCACCCCAGGAGGGAGGUGUAGCUUAUUAUGUGGACUUGCACGGCCACGCCUCUAAGCGUGGAUGCUUCAUGUACGGAAAUAACCUACCUGAUGAGAGCCAGCAGGUAGAGAACAUGCUGUAUCCGAGGCUGAUCGCUGUGAACUCUGCCCACUUUGAUUUCCUGGGUUGUAACUUCUCCGAGAAAAACAUGUAUGCCCGAGACAAGAGGGAUGGCCAGUCUAAAGAAGGCAGCGGGCGGGUGGCCAUUCACAAGGCCAUCGGGCUGCUUCACAGCUACACUUUAGAGUGCAACUAUAACACAGGAAAAACUAUGAACACCAUCCCUCCUGCUUGCCAUGACAACGGACGGGCAACCCCACCUCCACCUCCAUCAUUCCCUCCAAAAUACACUCCAGAAAUAUUUGAGCAGGUGGGGCGUGCUGUGGCUAUCUCAGCCCUGGAUAUGGCAGAGUGUAACCCCUGGCCACGGCUGGUGCUCUCUGAGCACAGUUGUCUGACAAACCUUCGAGCUUGGAUCCUCAAGCACGUCCGCAACACCAAAGGCCUGAACGCAAAUAUCCACUCUCAUCCUCCGCUAAGAAUACACCACAAUGGCAGCAAGGCGUCCCCGCCAAAGAGCUUCAACAACUGUCUGUCGGGCUCAGCGUCAGAGAACACCCUGAGUCGUGUUCGUUGCAACAGCCACAGCAGCAGCAGCCAGACACCCUCCCCGAAGAUGCACAGCUCGCCGAGCUUUACUUUUGGCUGUCCCCCACCCCGAACUCACACACAGCACAACAGCACGCACGCCAGCGGACGUGGAGGCAACAAGACACUUGGGCCAGUCAGGGACCCUAAGCCUCAGGAGAAGAGACGCCCCCCCCACCACCGCUCCAUCCUACGGUCUCCCAGCAACAGCCACACUCCUUCCCGUCCCCCACUCUCACCCCCUUCCUCCUCCUCCUCCUCGUCUUCCUCAGUGUGCGCAGCGGGCUCCUGUCCCCUCCCGGCCUCCGUCAGUAUGACAGGUCUGUACUCCCUCCAGUCCCCCAGCCUCUCCACCUUGCUCCCCUCCCUGCAGGCUCUCCCCCGCCCUGGGCUGCUCUCGAAACUGAGCCCCCUGCUCCUUCAGGGCCUACCGCCGGCCACCAACACUCCAGCAGGGCCCACCCAGGACUGAAUCUAACAUAACCUAUGAGAGCUUGGGCUUGUGUGUGCGUGCGUGUGUGUGUGCGUGUGCGUGUGCGUGUGUGUGGAACUGAGUGAGUGUAAGCUCUUAAAGUUGCUUGGAGUACCAGACAAGCAGAGUUUUAGGUUGUCUCAAGAGACUGUCAUACAGAAACCUUCACCUGUCUGGCUCUCCACGUAGGUCAAAACAAGUGCUUAUCACGAUUUGUCUGUGUGUAUGUGUGUGUGUGUGUGUGUGUGUGUGUGUGUGUGAGAGAGAGAGAGUGAAACAUCAUUGGUGCUAGCUCUUCUAACUGUUCCUCAAAUAUUAUUGUUUUUCCUUCUGCACACAUCUGUGUAAUUAAAUGUAUCUACGGUAUUAGCACCUUAGGAUGAGUAAUACACUUGAGAGUGCAAGUGUUCAUCAGAUCUCAAUUGUGACUGAAAUGUGCUGAAACAUGUUUUUCAUUUUUUUACUAACCUUGAAUCAAGCAUUGCUUAUCAUGCUGUGCUCUGGCGGCGUUCUUUACUGAACAAAGCCGACAGUUUAGUGUCUGAAUGUGUUUAGCAACCCGAGACAGUUGCUUGGUUACAUGAUCUCCGAUGUUCCCUAGGACUUGCAAAAUAUACAAAUAUACAUUCAUAUUGGAAAUAUUACAUGAAUAGAUUACACCUCAUUGAAUAUGUCUCUUUUUCAGUCUGUAUACAAGUAAUAAGCUAAAAAGAAUUACCAUGUUACUGUGCUGACAUUUGGGAAAUAGCCAGGGCUGUCAAUUUUAAGAUUCUUUUCAAACAGUUACUGUUGUUCAGCUGCAGUAUGAAUUAUGAAUAUUAUUUAUUGGUUUUAUUUUAGUUUUGAAAAACAUAACCAGCUUUGUAGAACGAGACUGAACACAUUGUUGCUUUUGUUUCUGUAAAAUCCUUUAAAGCACCUUCUAAUCUUUUAUUUCUUUUUUCAGUGUAUUUGUAUUUUGCUCUGUAAUGUUCAUAUAUAAAACAGUGCGAGUCACAGGUUGAUCACGCCGUCCAGUGUAGUCAUAUUUGGAGUCAGUUCAGAGCUGAGCAUCGUGUAGACCAUAUUUAAUUUCUAGUGAGUGGAAAUCCCGUUUAAAAUGACUGUGGUUAUACUUUUGUAUGUAAGUCAAUGGUUAAUUUCUUUAAUAUAAAUGAAACCUGUAUCAUUCCAGUGUCAGUCCAGUCUUGGUCUUGACAUUAUGAUGUUCACAGUAUAGCCUACUGCCAGAAACCUCACAUGGACCAUCACUGGAUUAAAUCCUUACGGAUGGUGAAACCUUAAAGAGUUUCUUUGGAAAAAAGGGGAGCUGUUUGCCAACUAGCAAUAUCAUAUGAAAAAACACUUUAGUUCUGUGUUUGACAAGUUUGACUAAGUCAAAGUUGGUAAGUGUUUAUAAUUUUCUAAUAAGAUUCCAAUAUUGAUUUUGUUGUAAAUAAUCUGUAGAGUUUUUUAUUUUAUUACAUGUGUCAUCAAACUGGUGAUGAAAAACCUGAUUAUUAUUUAUUCAAGCACAUUUGUGUGUUUCCUAGUGUAUAUGAAACUUGGCAGCAAUGUAGUAGGCUGUCGGUGGUCACAGUUAAUAUAUUUUGUGGUUAGCAGAGAUGAGAAAUUAUCUUGUUGUCUUGGUGUACAUGUAAGCCCCAUAGAUGUGGAAUUAUAAUAUUUCAUCUGUAAUUCAGUUUUGUGUACUGUCAUCCAAGUACUUGAUGAUGGUCCACGUUUGAGGACCAGCCAUUAUAGAUGCACUGAAGAUGCAGAGGUAGAGCAUGUGAGACCCGGACAGGUUUUAUGAACAGCAGAUAAACCAGAACAUUAAUUGAUUGGAUCAAAAUAGAUUUCAGAAUAUCUGGCCUUGAUUUGCUGUAGCUGUCAUUCUGUUCCAGUGCUGUGCGACAUUGUAGUUAUGGUGUGCCUUCCUCUGGUGUCAGUUGUAAACAGUAGGUCUUUGGAGGCUAUGCUCAGUCUUUUUUUUUUUUUUUUUUUACCAGAGAACUCUUGGAUUAUAUCAUGAUCUGGAAGGUCAUUUAUCUUGCUUUGGAGAAACUUUCCCUUCGCAAGUGGCAUUGAAGAUAGUUAAGUAGGGACAAUUUAUAAUGUAGUGACUUUUUUUUCAGAAUACAGGCCUAAAUCACUGUAUGGUUAAACAAUAUAUAUAUAUAUAUAUAUAUAUAUAUAUAUAUAUAUAUAUAUAUAACUGCAGAUAAUGUUUGGAAAUUAAGUUAAGGGGCAUAUUUAGGACUUUUGUUGACCUUUUCACAAAAGCAAAAAUAAAUAUCAAACAAUGCCAGUGUCUGUCAAACCUUUACAAAUGUAAUGCUGAUUUUGUGCUCUGGGGAAAUAAAAGUCUUACAUAAUGCUCCUUUAAUAUCACUAAGAUGAUGAUUUUCAUGUAGCCUCUGCCCACUGCAUUCAGCACAGUGGGCAGGAUGUAUUAUGAGCUUUCACCUUAGAUCAGUGCCCUAAAAAAUAGUUUACUGUAGUUUUUUUCUGCUUUCUCACUGUGAACUUUAACGUCCUAUUUCCCAGUUGUUUCACUCCUAAAGCUUACAUAUAUAUAUAUAUAUAUAUAUAUGUAUGUGUGUGUGUGUGUGUAUAUCUUCAUCCACAAUGACAAAAGAAAAAGCUUUAGGCGGAAACACACUGUAUGCAUAGUCACAUUCUCACUGGAUGUGUCUGCUUUGUAUAUUCCUUAUGAGAACUGUGCUGUUGCCUUCAAUGUGGUGCUAACCUUCUAUACCGGACUACGGUUAAGUGUUUGUCUGUGCAACAUCUUUACGAAUAUUACCUUCUUGAAUGUGUUGCUGUCUUUUACCGCCUCUCUGUUUAACCUCUGGAAUAAAAACUACUCCUUUGUGAAGCAA
Dicentrarchus labrax (European seabass) is the source of this 5598-nucleotide RNA transcript. It is a transcript of the gene named AGBL carboxypeptidase 5, with no coding region annotated. NCBI's taxonomy places the organism in Eukaryota, Metazoa, Chordata, Actinopteri, Moronidae. The record is from RefSeq and is a predicted model, not a curated record. The transcript is spliced from 13 exons.